RNAcentral lists this ribosomal RNA (490 nucleotides) under uncultured bacterium. Its description in RNAcentral is "partial 16S ribosomal RNA". It matches the Rfam family "Bacterial small subunit ribosomal RNA", at positions 30 to 507 of the family's 1533-position model. The record is from RNAcentral.
AUUGAACGCUGGCGGCAGGCCUAACACAUGCAAGUCGAAUGGUAACAGGAAACAGCUUGCUGUUUCGCUGACGAGUGGCGGACGGGUGAGUAAUGUCUGGGAAACUGCCUGAUGGAGGGGGAUAACUACUGGAAACGGUAGCUAAUACCGCAUAACGUCGCAAGACCAAAGAGGGGGACCUUCGGGCCUCUUGCCAUCAGAUGUGCCCAGAUGGGAUUAGCUAGUAGGUGGGGUAACGGCUCACCUAGGCGACGAUCCCUAGCUGGUCUGAGAGGAUGACCAGCCACACUGGAACUGAGACACGGUCCAGACUCCUACGGGAGGCAGCAGUGGGGAAUAUUGCACAAUGGGCGCAAGCCUGAUGCAGCCAUGCCGCGUGUAUGAAGAAGGCCUUCGGGUUGUAAAGUACUUUCAGCGGGGAGGAAGGGAGUAAAGUUAAUACCUUUGCUCAUUGACGUUACCCGCAGAAGAAGCACCGGCUAAUUCCGUG